RNAcentral lists this non-coding RNA (198 nucleotides) under Nocardioides sp. Lineage: Bacteria; Bacillati; Actinomycetota; Actinomycetes; Propionibacteriales; Nocardioidaceae. The record is from RNAcentral.
GGUAGCGUUCGUCCCGCCAGUCGAACCACCUCGGUGGUCAGGGAACCCGGUGAGAGUCCGGGACUGACGCGCAGCGGUAUGGGUGACGGGCGGGACACGCCGGGGGCGACCUCGACAGCCACUGGAUCGCUGAUCCGGGAAGGCGUCCCGUGCCGGUCGAACCCGAGUCCGAAGACCUGCUGGCUCCGACGACAACGG